AUAUCAUCGAUUGGAUGGAUGCUGUCUGAAAAUUGAUGGAUUUGGUCUGAAAAUUUUUGUCCUUUCGUAGGAAGUUUAAUGUAUUUAUACUCAUAAUUAGAACAGUGCUCGCCGGUGAAAAUAACAGUACAGGCACGAAAUGAUGGCAACCAGCAGGGACAAAAGGAAUAGGAUGGGAGCCAGACCACAGGUAUCCAGGAAUGUUCCCAAUGUAGGGACCUUAAAAAGGAGUUUUCAUUACUUCAGCAGAUAAGAUGGAUGCCGAGUCCGCGCCUGGCGGGGUACUGCACAAUGUCAAGGAUGAGUGGGAUGAUUUUCGUGAUAGAAACUGAGAGGAUCAGAACUCCAAAGCACCAGGAGCUGGUGCUGAAGAUGAGUCAGACUGAGCCUUCUCCACAGAAGUGAGAGACAAGGACAUCUCAACAAAUGGCAAUCCUGUAAUGGACUGUAAUGGAAGUGUGAGGCUCACGAAGGAAAGACCUCAUUCUUCAGAGGAAAUCAGAAAGGAGGACCCAUUAAAGGCUCCAUGAUUUGAGCUAAGAUCAAGGGUUGGAUGCUUAACAGACUGAGCCAUCCAGGUGCCCCACUGAAACCUCCAUCUUAAAAUCUACACUAUGAGCAGUUGUAAACAGAGAUGGAAAAUUGGUGACAUAAAAGAACAGACUUCUAAGAGUGGACAGUAGGACA
This is a long non-coding RNA of Mustela lutreola (European mink), 687 nucleotides long. RefSeq lists it as uncharacterized. Lineage: Eukaryota; Metazoa; Chordata; Mammalia; Carnivora; Mustelidae. The record is from RefSeq and is a predicted model, not a curated record. The transcript has 4 exons.